RNAcentral lists this long non-coding RNA (1240 nucleotides) under Scleropages formosus (Asian bonytongue). RNAcentral describes it as "lncRNA (ENSSFOG00015025699.1)". Lineage: Eukaryota; Metazoa; Chordata; Actinopteri; Osteoglossiformes; Osteoglossidae. The record is from RNAcentral.
GCCUCUCUCCCUGAAGAACUUUUUGCGGUGGAGACCUCUUGUUGUCACAAUGUGGCUGUUUUUAGCGGAAAGUCAAUGAAAGGAUUUUCCCCAAAAUCACAGACCGCAUGACGGAAAGAAACUGUGAUUAGGAGUUGCUCAAGAUGCGCGAGGAUUCUGACGACAACAUCCGGAGCAAUAUCCAGAUCGUUCCUUCUUGUUUUAACCUGAUUAUUUAUUCACUUUUCUGGAGUGUUACUCAUUGACGGGGGUGGGGGUGUGUGCCAGGCGAGAUAGAUAUAUUAGCUGCAUCUCUCAAAUUCUCAGCACAUAGUGAGGAGCUGUAACAGUAACUGCAACUCGGCUCAAGUUAAACACCAAAGGACUCGAGGGGCAAGACAUGGAGAUGCUGAAAGCUGCAUUUUUCUUUCUCUUGUUUGUGGCAGUAGUGUCGGCAAGACCGGCUGACAAAAAUGGCCAUAGACGUUUCAGACUUGGGCACGGCCAAAAUUCAAGGCUAACUCAUCGCAGGCAUUCAUCAGAUUCAUCGGAUUCAUCGGACUCAAAAUCCUCAGAGUCAUCGGAUUCGGACGAGUCCAGUGAGGAGACAACCACCCAAGUCACACGUAGGACCACAACCCCAACAACCACCAGAAGUACAACAACCUCUGUGGUCAUUCCAGAGACAACCCCACCCAUCAUCACCGAGAAAACAACCCCAGUCACCAUUCCUGAGAUAUCCAGCACAGCGGAGACUGCAACCCCAGUGAUCAUCACUGAGAAAACAACCCCAGUCACCAUUCCCGAGAUAUCCAGCACAGCGGAGACCGCAACCCCAGUGAUCAUCACUGAGAAAACAACCCCAGUGGUCAUUCCUGAGACGACCCCACCCAUCACCAGUGCGAGAACAACCGGAACCCCGGUGAAUCAAUCGACCACAGAAGUUACAACCUCAUGUGGUGCUGCUACAUGUUUUACAAUAAACAUAACAACAACCACCCAGAGAGGGGACAACUGAAGUUAGUCUUCUACUAAGUAGGCUGUUUUAAUUUGAAAAUAUUAAUUUUAAUUCACUGAAGGGAUCACUUUGAAAAUGGUUUACUUGACGAUGUAAUACGGUAAAGUAUAUAUCUAUAUGUGUCAGCUGUUAUGACUUAUUGACCUCUUCCUUGUUAUUUGCUUGAUAACACUACAACCUAUUAAAGUCUACCACCAACCGAAAGUUUCACGUGACCUUGUUUGCGCUUGGUAUAAUGAUGGA